RNAcentral lists this ribosomal RNA (292 nucleotides) under uncultured bacterium. Its description in RNAcentral is "partial 16S ribosomal RNA". It matches the Rfam family "Bacterial small subunit ribosomal RNA", at positions 505 to 796 of the family's 1533-position model. The record is from RNAcentral.
GUGUCAGCAGCCGCGGUAAUACAGAGGGUGCGAGCGUUGUCCGGAAUCACUGGGCGUAAAGGGCGCGUAGGUGGCCCGAUAAGUAGGGGGUGAAAUCUCGAGGCUCAACCUCGAGGCUGCCUCCUAAACUGACGGGCUCGAGCAUAGUAGAGGCAGGUGGAAUUCCCGGUGUAGCGGUGGAAUGCGUAGAGAUCGGGAAGAACAUCGGUGGCGAAGGCGGCCUGCUGGGCUAUUGCUGACACUGAUGCGCGACAGCGUGGGGAGCAAACAGGAUUAGAAACCCUAGUAGUCC